GAUGAAGAACGCAGUGAAAUGCGAUAAGUAAUGUGAAUUGCAGAAUUCAGUGAAUCAUCGAAUCUUUGAACGCACAUUGCGCCCGCCAGCAUUCUGGCGGGCAUGCCUGUUCGAGCGUCAUUUCAACCCUCGACAUCCCCUUGGGGAAGUCGGCGUUGGGGACCGGCAGCACACCGCCGGCCCCGAAAUUGAGUGGCGGCCCGUCCGCGGCGACCUCUGCGUAGUAAUCCAACCUCGCACCGGAACCCCGACGUGGCCACGCCGUAAAACACCCACCUUUCUGAACGUUGACCUCGGAUCAGGUAGGAAUACCCGCUGAACUUAAGCAUAUCAAUAACGGAGGA
This 344-nucleotide unclassified non-coding RNA is filed under the name soil metagenome. RNAcentral describes it as "partial contains 5.8S ribosomal RNA, internal transcribed spacer 2, and large subunit ribosomal RNA". The stretch from base 1 to 120 matches the Rfam family "5.8S ribosomal RNA", at positions 35 to 154 of the family's 154-position model. The record is from RNAcentral.